RNAcentral lists this ribosomal RNA (509 nucleotides) under uncultured bacterium. Its description in RNAcentral is "bacterial SSU rRNA". It matches the Rfam family "Bacterial small subunit ribosomal RNA", at positions 28 to 525 of the family's 1533-position model. The record is from RNAcentral.
GACGAACGCUGGCGGCGUGGAUUAGGCAUGCAAGUCGAACGGUAUCAUCCUUUCGGGGGUGAGAGAGUGGCGAACUGGUGAGUAACACGUAGGUUAUCUACCCUCAAGACGGGGACAACCCAGGGAAACUUGGGCUAAUACCGGAUGUGAGCAACUUUUAGUUGUUUGAAAGGUGGCGUAAGCUGUCGCUUGGGGAUGAGCCUGCGUCCUAUUAGUUAGUUGGUGAGGUAACGGCUCACCUAGGCAAUGAUAGGUAGGCGGCCUUAACGGGUGGUCGCCCACACUGGGAUUGAGAUACGGCCCAGACUCCUACGGGAGGCAGCAGUCGAGAAUAGUCUACAAUGGUCGGAAGACUGAUAGUGCGACGCCGCGUGAACGAUGAAUCCCUUUCGGGGGUGUAAAAGUUCUUUUAUAUGUGAGCAGUGCUUCUUAUAUUUAACAGUAUGGGGAGAGAGAUAUUAGCAUAUGAAUAAGCAACGGCUAACUCCGUGCCAGCAGCCGCGGUAAAA